AUUCUAAACAAGUGAAACUGCGAGCUACUGCUCACUGAUGAUACCCCCGCCGCAAGUGGAUAAUAUUAAUAGUGUAAAAAUAUGCAAGUGUUCGGUAAACAGGAAGUUGUCGAGUGAUGAAUCUGAAAACGCAUCACACGGUAUAGCUGACUUAUAUAAAUCCUGAAACCAAAUUUCAGAAUCCUUGUAUUGUAGUUCUGAGAAAAAUGUGACGAAAAUUUUCAACUUGGCUAUCAUGUGUAAAAUCAGACAAGUGUUCGGUAAACAGGAAGUUGUCAAGUGAUGAAUCUGAAAACGCAUCACACGGUAUGGCUGACAUAUAUAAAUGUUGAUACCAAAUUACAGAAAGGGUGGAUGUGUAGUUCCUGAGAAAAAUGUGACGAAAGUUUCAUGGGACGGACUGACUGACGGACGGACUGAUGGACGGACUGACGGACGGACUGACAGACAGAGGUAAAACAGUAUACCCCCCUUUUUUAAAGCGGGGGUAUAAUAAUUAAU
Molecule: long non-coding RNA, 501 nt
Filed under: Mytilus galloprovincialis (Mediterranean mussel)
Lineage: Eukaryota; Metazoa; Mollusca; Bivalvia; Mytilida; Mytilidae
Source: RNAcentral